This 756-nucleotide ribosomal RNA is filed under the name uncultured bacterium. RNAcentral describes it as "bacterial SSU rRNA". It matches the Rfam family "Bacterial small subunit ribosomal RNA", at positions 8 to 796 of the family's 1533-position model. The record is from RNAcentral.
AGAGUUUGAUCAUGGCUCAGAAUCAACGCUGGCGGCGUGCCUAACACAUGCAAGUCGAACGAGAAAGGGACUUCGGUCCUGAGUACAGUGGCGCACGGGUGAGUAACACGUGACUAACCUACCCUGGAGUGGGGAAUAACUGAGGGAAACCUUAGCUAAUACCGCAUAAUACCUACGGGUCAAAGGAGCAAUUCGCUUCAGGAGGGGGUCGCGGCCGAUUAGCUAGUUGGCGGGGUAAUGGCCCACCAAGGCAAUGAUCGGUAUCCGGCCUGAGAGGGCGCACGGACACACUGGAACUGAAACACGGUCCAGACUCCUACGGGAGGCAGCAGUGGGGAAUUUUGCGCAAUGGGGGAAACCCUGACGCAGCAACGCCGCGUGGAGGAUGAAAUCCCUUGGGAUGUAAACUCCUUUCGAUCGGGACGAUUAUGACGGUACCGGAAGAAGAAGCCCCGGCUAACUUCGUGCCAGCAGCCGCGGUAAUACGAGGGGGGCAAGCGUUGUUCGGAAUUAUUGGGCGUAAAGGGAGCGUAGGCGGUUUUGUAAGUCGUGUGUGAAAUCUUCGGGCUCAACCCGAAGUCUGCACACGAAACUGCAGGGCUUGAGUAUGGGAGAGGUGAGUGGAAUUCCUGGUGUAGCGGUGAAAUGCGUAGAUAUCAGGAGGAACACCUGUGGCGAAAGCGGCUCACUGGACCAUUACUGACGCUGAGGCUCGAAAGCUAGGGGAGCAAACAGGAUUAGAUACCCUAGUAGUCC